AUGCGAUAAGUAAUGUGAAUUGCAGAAUUCAGUGAAUCAUCGAAUCUUUGAACGCACCUUGCGCUCCUUGGUAUUCCGAGGAGCAUGCCUGUUUGAGUGUCAUGAAACUCUCAACCCCAAGCUUUAAUCGGCUUGUGGUUGGACUUGGACGCUGCUGCGACCUCGCGGCUCGUCCUAAAUGCAUUAGCUGGAAAGUCUCGCUUCACGAGGUUCUCGGUGUGAUAAUUAUCUACAUCGGACGCCGCAAGGCGGCCUCUUUGCGAGUGCAGUCCGCUUCUAAUCGUCGCUCGUCGACAGCUUUUAUUAAGAUCUGACCUCAAAUCAGGUAGGACUACCCGCUGAACUUAA
This 348-nucleotide unclassified non-coding RNA is filed under the name uncultured Agaricomycetes. RNAcentral's name for it is "partial contains 5.8S ribosomal RNA, internal transcribed spacer 2, and large subunit ribosomal RNA". The stretch from base 1 to 102 matches the Rfam family "5.8S ribosomal RNA", at positions 53 to 154 of the family's 154-position model. Lineage: Eukaryota; Fungi; Basidiomycota; Agaricomycetes. The record is from RNAcentral.